AGAGUUUGUUCCUGGCUCAGGACGAACGCUGGCGGCGCGCCUAACACAUGCAAGUCGAACGAGCGAGAGAGAGCUUGCUUUCUCGAGCGAGUGGCGAACGGGUGAGUAACGCGUGAGGAACCUGCCUCAAAGAGGGGGACAACAGUUGGAAACGACUGCUAAUACCGCAUAAGCCCACAGGUCGGCAUCGACCAGAGGGAAAAGGAGCAAUCCGCUUUGAGAUGGCCUCGCGUCCGAUUAGCUAGUUGGUGAGGUAAUGGCCCACCAAGGCGACGAUCGGUAGCCGGACUGAGAGGUUGAACGGCCACAUUGGGACUGAGACACGGCCCAGACUCCUACGGGAGGCAGCAGUGGGGAAUAUUGCACAAUGGGGGAAACCCUGAUGCAGCGACGCCGCGUGGAGGAAGAAGGUCUUCGGAUUGUAAACUCCUGUUGUUGAGGAAGAUAAUGACGGUACUCAACAAGGAAGUGACGGCUAACUACGUGCCAGCAGCCGCGGUAAAACGUAGGUCACAAGCGUUGUCCGGAAUUACUGGGUGUAAAGGGAGCGCAGGCGGGAAGACAAGUUGGAAGUGAAAUCCAUGGGCUCAACCCAUGAACUGCUUUCAAAACUGUUUUUCUUGAGUAGUGCAGAGGUAGGCGGAAUUCCCGGUGUAGCGGUGGAAUGCGUAGAUAUCGGGAGGAACCCCAGUGGCGAAGGGCGGCCUACUGGGCACCAACUGACGCUGAGGCUCGAAAGUGUGGGUAGCAAACAGGAUUAGAUACCCUGGUAGUCCAACACUGUAAACGAUGAUUACUAGGUGUUGGAGGAUUGACCCCUUCAGUGCCGCAGUUAACACAAUAAGUAAUCCACCUGGGGAGUACGACCGCAAGGUUGAAACUCAAAGGAAUUGACGGGGGCCCGCACAAGCAGUGGAGUAUGUGGUUUAAUUCGACGCAACGCGAAGAACCUUACCAAGUCUUGACAUCCUGCGACGGACAUAGAAAUAUGUUUUUCCUUCGGGACGCAGAGACGGGUGGUGCAUGGUUGUCGUCAGCUCGUGUCGUGAGAUGUUGGGUUAAGUCCCGCAACGAGCGCAACCCUUAUGGUCAGUUACUACGCAAGAGGACUCUGGCCAGACUGCCGUUGACAAAUACGGAGGAAGGUGGGGAUGACGUCAAAUCAUCAUGCCCUUUAUGACUUGGGCUACACACGUACUACAAUGGCGUUAAACAAAGAGAAGCAAGACCGCGAGGUGGAGCAAAACUCAGAAACAACGUCCCAGUUCGGACUGCAGGCUGCAACUCGCCUGCACGAAGUCGGAAUUGCUAGUAAUCGCAGAUCAGCAUGCUGCGGUGAAUACGUUCCCGGGCCUUGCACUCACCGCCCGUCA
RNAcentral lists this ribosomal RNA (1373 nucleotides) under uncultured bacterium. RNAcentral's name for it is "bacterial SSU rRNA". It matches the Rfam family "Bacterial small subunit ribosomal RNA". The record is from RNAcentral.